CAUCAAGAGAGACGGAGGGAAUGGCCCUGUGAUGUCUCAGCAACCUACUAUUUUGUGUGGUGCUAAUUCCAGUUAGAUGGGGAUUAUUUGUAAGAUU
This 97-nucleotide non-coding RNA is filed under the name uncultured Fusobacterium sp. RNAcentral's name for it is "SAM riboswitch (S box leader)". The stretch from base 1 to 83 matches the Rfam family "SAM riboswitch aptamer (S box leader)". Rfam says of the family: The SAM riboswitch is found upstream of a number of genes which code for proteins involved in methionine or cysteine biosynthesis in Gram-positive bacteria. The SAM riboswitch acts at the level of transcription termination control. Lineage: Bacteria; Fusobacteriati; Fusobacteriota; Fusobacteriia; Fusobacteriales; Fusobacteriaceae. The record is from RNAcentral.